RNAcentral lists this unclassified non-coding RNA (260 nucleotides) under fungal sp. Its description in RNAcentral is "partial internal transcribed spacer region". The stretch from base 1 to 46 matches the Rfam family "Eukaryotic small subunit ribosomal RNA", at positions 1786 to 1831 of the family's 1831-position model. The record is from RNAcentral. Lineage: Eukaryota; Fungi.
AAGUCGUAACAAGGUUUCCGUAGGUGAAUCUGCGGAGGGAUCAUUAACACGAAUCCAACGUUAAACCACCCGUGCACCUUCAUCUCCAAAGCGAUUCUUUGCGGCAUGUUAAGUCGUGACCCACCGGAUCUAGGGAGUUGGACUACCCAAGGAGAACCUCCACACCUGGUUGCGAUGUAAAUCUUCAUGCAAAACUAACCGCUCGGGGGUUCUCCGGGGCUUCCAGAGCUGGUAACCCAACAAUGAAUAUCUUGGCUCUC